Molecule: non-coding RNA, 9647 nt
Organism: Phalacrocorax carbo (great cormorant)
Lineage: Eukaryota; Metazoa; Chordata; Aves; Suliformes; Phalacrocoracidae
Source: RefSeq, a predicted model, not a curated record
GGGUUGCUUCGUUGAGCAAAGCGGUGUAGACAAAAGGAAAAUCCGGGCCCCGCCGAGGUCAGGAGCAAAACUGAGUUGCUGGCUCGGCGAAUCAGGCAGGCGGGGCGGCUCACACCCGUGAAAACGCCAGGAUCGCGGCUUUUUAAUGUUUCAAAGGAUGAGAGGCAUAACUCGAUGUAUUUGGUGUCAGAGCUAGUCAUCCCUUGUUCUGGUACUCCUGGUUCUGUUGCAGGUUUCAAACGUGUAGCCUUUUGAAUUGUAGGACUUUUCCGGGCACCGGAAUUAAUCAUUCCUUACGGCUUUUGGGUUCUUAAAAGCUAUGCUGAAAAUAUUCGGUGCUGGCCAGCUCAUAGGCACGUCCUUGUUUAAUGCACCACUUGGUGCUGUGCAUGUGUGAAAAGCCAAAUGACAACCCCAUGUUCCUGUUUUAGUUUAGUAAUUUGUGUAUGUAGAACUGUAAGUACAACAGGCAAAUAAGUUAAGACUCCUACCGUUCCCCCACUGGGACCAGUGGCUUUCUCCCGUGAACUGUGCUUACAAGAUGUAAAGCACAGCAAUGGCAAAAUAACAUUGUGGUAGGCCGGGUUUUAAUGUUAUGUUUUCAGAGAGGGUGUUAAUUACUCCAGCCCUAUGGCACUUUCAAGUCAAUGGUAAUGUCCUUGUUGACUUCACAGAUGAUUGGGUUUAGUCCCUGUCAGUAACAGUUUUACAGGUGUUUGCAUAUUUUUAUCAUCUAAAUAAACAAUUUUAAUCUCUUAAAAAUCAAUAGAAGUUUCUUUCUGGGGUCAGAUUUUGUCUUACAAAGGAGAAAAAUUAUCAUUAUGGAGACCUUUUGUUUCCAUAUAGUUGUCCACAGAAACAAAACAGUAUCUGUUUUUUAACUAGAAAAUGUAAUUUACAUAGUUUGGCAUUUUCAGAAUGUGAAAUCAUGUCUUCUCCCAUGUUGUCGACAGGACACAGAGUUGAGCGCUGGCAUAAAAUUAUCAGGUGGGAAGACUAUAUAAACUGUGGCCUUUCUGAUUGAAAGAGUCUGAUAUAAAUAGCAUUUUUAGGGUCUGAUUCUGUGAUCACAAGUCUUUCAUUAUAGUUUAAAUAAAUAAAUGUAUAAUCACAUGAAUUAGGAUCUACAGUUUAAGUUCUUAGUCAGAGCAGAGUCACAGUGGAAAACAGUCAUUUAAAGCUGGAGUAAAAAGUUAUGUAUCUUGUUACCAGCCACUUGAGCAUUAACUAGUUCCAAAUAAGUUGGCCAUAAAGUAAGAAUAAUCCUGCAUUCUGAAGCUUCUUGGUGUCCUCUGUUAAGGUAGUCAUAACUUCCCUUUACUUCUGCCUUGCAUUUGAUUUUGUAUGCAAUCACGUGCAUUGCCUGAUAAACACAUUCUCACAUGUAUCCUCUGCACGCUCUGCAUGAAUAGAUUUCAAGUUUGUUGAGGGCCUCUGAAGAGGUGCCAGCAUUCUGUGAAGAGCUACUCGUAAGGCAGGGGUAUGUGCAUAAACCUGCACAUUUGUAAAAACUAGAUUAGAAGCAGAUACUAAGGAAAACUCAGGGUUUUUAAGAAUUUGGAUUGUUUAUGUGGUUGGAUCAGCAGAUGGCAAAUAUGACUCAGUAUAAACGUUACAUAAUUCUUCUUGGGAAAAUAAAAUCUCAAGACGGUGCUCUAAUUCAAAAGGUCAUCCAGAAAGCUGUUGAAGAACAGUACAGAGAAUGGGGAGAGAAAUAUCAAUGGAGCAGAUGCAUGCAGUAGCCAGCAAAUUCAGGAAGAUUUUAUGAAUGUAGCGAGGCUCAAAACAUACCCAAGCAAAUCCGUCGGCCCAGUGCCCAACAAAACGGCGAAGGCCAAACAAGGAUUUAGUUUGAUUAGCAAAUAGAGCAGAAAGCAGCUGUUCUAUCAAUUUGAAAAGUAAUUUUAAGCAGCACUAUUUAAUGGAAGGGUUAAAUAUGGAUAAAUUCUAAGGGCUGCUGAAGCGAAGAAUUCAGAACAUGGGUUGGUCUCUUUCCAGAGAUGAAAUUGAUAGUGGACUCUAGUAAGGGGAAAAAAAAAAAGCCCCAAACCAAAAAACAUACCUAGACUGAGUUGAAUGUAAAUGUUCUAACCUAUUAGAUCAUGUGGACUCCUUUGUGUUUUUAAAUGUCUUAUGCUCUUUGUUCCUGGUAAUGUGAGGACAACACUGUGGAGUGUUAAAAUUAUACGUACGAUAAAUAUGUUAACUAGAUGUAGAAAGUAGAAACAUGGACUUAUUUGCAGCAGUUACAGAUGAGGAAAAUAAUUUUUGAAACAGACAAGAGAUCUUUCAAAACAUUGUAUGCUUUUUGAGCAGUGCUGUUCCAUACCCCAGCAGAAUUUUGAUUCUGUCAUUUUAGUAUUUGUGAAGACAUUUUAAGUUAUGACCAAUGCAGCUGUCAGUGUCUAAGUGGCAUCACACCUUCAAUCUCAAAAUUUCUCUUAACACAACAUAUGCCUUACCUUCUGUUUUCUUCCAUUUUCUAAAAUACCAGAGAAAGCAGUUAGCCUACCUAGAAAUUCUUUAACUGGUUUGUCAUUUGGAAGGACUGGUAUUGACUGUAAUAAGCAAGGGCUUUCCUUAGUGUUUUUACUACGCAGCUAUCACUUGACUUUGUUCUUAUUUCAGGGUGACAACUUCUUGGUUUCCUCCUCCUACAGCCCGCCAUGCUUAAAGGCAAAUUAAAUGAGUGCUUUCUAACAUUCUGUGACUUUCCCCUCUAUAUUUUCAAGCAGGAGCAUGGAAGAAAUAUGAAAAACUGAGUUGCAAAUAUUGAAAAAAACCCGAAAUCUGUGAUAUUAAAAAUAUUGUGUAGAAUAGCAAACAUAUUGACUUCAUAUUUGAGGACUCUCUAUUGUCAAUUCUCUCAUGAAAAGAUAUAAGGAAGGUCUAAGAUCCCUGUUACAAAUUCUGAUAGAUAUUCUGAGAGCUCAAAAUGCUGGAAUAAACCACCUGAUCUAGUGGUUUUGUCAGUAGAAAAUAAAUUAGCAUUAGAUAGGCUUAAUUAUUAUUCUCAUUUUCGUACACCCAUAUUAAGUCAGGGACAAAGGUUGCAGAGUGCCUGAGGGGAAGUGCUAUUUCUCACGCACCGAGGUGGCAAGAGUUUUUCGGGCUCGAUAGUGUCUUUUGGUCUUUACACUAUACUCACAGUGUAAAAAAGACUCAAUGAACUUCCAACAACCAUGACUAGCUGUGUGUAUGCACCGCUCUUCUAGGCGAUACCUAAAGAUCCGGCUCAGAGGCUACGCCCAAAGCAGAGGUCCCAGGAGCGCAUCUGAGCUCUUGAGGACAGGCGGGAACGCCCAUCGUGUCCUGGUUCCCCUGUCAGGGUGAAACCAAGAUGCACAUCGGCCUUCUGCUGAAGGCCUUUCUCAGAAGGUAGAUGGACACAGUGGACAGGUCCUCAGUUUGGAUACCUGGGACACACCACAGUACUUACAUGCUGCUUAGUUUAGCUCUCACCACUGAAAUAUGCAAGAGGAUUUACAUCCUCCUCCACUGUAAAAGAAAAUGAUAGAAACUAAACGUACUAAAUGUAACUCAUGAGGAAUAUAAAAACACCAAGAGUGCUAUAGUUUCAAAAGAGGGCAUGAAUAUUUGGACUCAUCAGAUUAAGUAGAAGCUGAAGUAACGUAAGGAAAAAGCCAUUUUUGAUGACUUGGCCACAACACUCCUAUCUCUGACUGUACAACUAUGACUAGAUCAUGUUUUCUGUGAACACUUAAUUGCUUUGAGGCACAUUGACAAUGGUGUAAAUUUGUAAUGGAAAAGAACAUGCAAGGAAAUGGUCCCUUAGUGAUGUUGCACAGCAGCAGGGCUCUGUCUCAGCAUUUGCACUGACUGGCCCCGCUACAUCAUUCUCAUGGGGCUCUGAAAACACUGAAGAAGGGCAAGAAAUAAAACCAUUAUUCUGUCAGCUGGACACUGGCCUACAGAGCCAUCUGAACAUACCAUGGGAAGCGUGCUGAGUUCCCCAGAGGGCUGUAUGUCCCACUGCUCGAAAAUCACAAGUACGCCCAGGCUGCAGGUUGUGUCUGCGUUGGAGAGCUGAGCCUCCAGAAAACAGCAAUGGGAUUGUGCUGACAAUACGUACAACAUUGCCCACACACCGGAUUUUGACUGCCUGAAAGAAGGAUCAUAGAGAAAUCUCAGCUGAAAUGAGCUAGUGAUGAGGGACCGCAACUCAAAGUACAGACAGCUGUUAAAAUUGUGCACAGAAGUUAUCCUUGGCUCUUGAACAGUAGCAUACAGGAAUGUCACCACAGGGGAGCUGGUGAACCAGCACUGUACGCCAGAGGUAUUCUGCCAGUCCUUCCCAUUCUGUUUGUGUGUCUACUGAUAGCAACUGUUAGACAGGAAUAUAUAGCGGUAAAUCACUCCUCAGGAUUAACAGAAAUGGUUGAGCAAGCACUUGCGCAUCAUACAUCCUGCAGGACUCUUCCUGCUAAGUUUGACCAGAGAAGGAAAGCCUCAUUUCUUUACCAAAUUCAGAUCAGUUUAAUGAGACUGUUAGCGAGUCAAGAAAUAAGACACACUGGUACCCGCGAGGAAAUGAAGCCACAAGUGACUUCUUGGACUGCCAUCUAGCGGUGGCUACCUGGGGAGAGUUCUGCUCACCAUGUUUUAAUCGUGUUUAAAAGGAGAAUGACUGAAAGAUUCAUACUUCUGAGAACUGGUUAAGCACCGUUUUCCUUAUUAGCAAAACAUUAACCAUCAGAGACUUCAAUAUGAUAAUUCUCAUUGCAAAAGUAUUUUCCUGUGCUCAAAAACCCCAACAGUUACUAGAACAAUAUAAUUAUACCGUGAUAAAAGUAUUUACGACAGUUGCACCUUCCAUGGUAACGGUGUAUUGAGGUUCGCAGACAACGUGAAGACACCCAGAUUUGUUCCACGGAUAAGUUGUUCGGAGGCUGCUUCGUUAUUCAGCACUUACUGGCUCAGGCUACCGCUUCCGAAGUGCUCAUUUGUCCACAUGUCCAUGUCAAACGUUUAAAAUCCUUACCGACUAACUCAAAUCAAAACAUGGUGGUUUCAAACAUACUCUAACCAAGAAAAACUGCAUUAACCAGUUCACGCAUUUUGCUCCCCACACUACCAGCUCACUCUCACAGAAGAUACAGCCUUCGUCCUUAUCUCAUGCAUACACCUUACAAAGCGAUCAGCAGUUUCAGCAGUUUCUUACCUAGCUGUGAUGCAUCUGAUUUUCACUUCCAAAACGAUGCUCUCAGAAAUUCUUAGACAACGUCAGAUUUAAUACUGAGAUUACAUGGGGAAAGCUUGAGGAAAUGCAUAUACUCCACUUCUGCUCAUACUAAAAUGACUGAUGGCAACAAAACGAAAGGCAGGAGAUAGCAAAUAAAUAACAAAAACCAGAUACUUUAAUAUAAGUGGCUGGGUAUGGCUUGGACAAUGAUAGACAAAACCAAACUGACCUUUUAACAAAGUUAAUAUUUACCCAUUUAAGCAGCUGGCAAUAUGAGAGAUUCAUCUCUUUGGGAUGCAGAAGUUUCCCCUUAUUUCAGGAGAGAUUGAUCACAAGCCAUCAAGAGUUUAGUUGAUUUUUGAAGAGUCACUUCCUGCAACUUGUUUCAGCUAGCAAGUAAUGUGACACAUACUUGCAAGAUGUUCUAUAGUAUUUGAGAAGCUUGAAGUUGCAAAAAUCUUUUUUAAAGUGUCCCAAAAACACCUGUCAUAAUUAAAAUUGUCCUGAUUUUUUAAUAUCCAAAAUAUACUGUAGCCAAUAAGAGUUUAAUCAGUAACCAGACAACUCAAAGGCAUCUAAACCUUGCUUACACUCAGGAAGCAGUUUAAGCUGCAUGAAACUUGUAUAAAUCCAUAAUUCACUACAGUGACGGCAAGUUUCGCCCUCUAUAUGCAAUGAGGAGACCAUCAAAUUUAACUAAUUCACUGAAACAAAUUUUAGAAAAUAAUUUUAGAAAUGUGUGGUUUUUACAUAUGAAUGCUAAAAAAGACAUAGAACUGUAACUAAGCAGCUUCUAUUUACUAUUAAUCUUAAGAUGUAUUCUUUUUGUUGGUUUGAGCAAACAGAUAUUUGUUCCUCCAGCACAAGACCACUAUUCCCUAGCAUUUCACUACACAUUUUUUGCAUCCCUUAGUACUGAUUAACAUGACCUCUGUGCUGCUCAUGCUUUCAGAUUCCAUCUUGUUAAUAAGUAACGCAAGAUCAGGAGGCACACUGCCACAGAAGUAAAUGGAGUGCGGCUUAGCGCAGAUCGCCUGCACCACCGAAGCCACGUUUGCCUCAGUACAUUAGAGAUGUGCCUCAGCACUACAAAGCCUGCUACUAGGUUCACAAUGACAGGUAUCUGCACUGAGGCAGAGGAAUGGGGCUGCUGUUCAAAAGCUCGUCAGCAAAAGUAAAGUGGCAGGGGUCGGAAGAAAAACAAAAAAAAGAUAAGGUGGUAUGGCGGGGCUGACAAAAAAACUCAUUUCUCUACUGGGAGGGAUGAAUUAGUGGUUUUCACAGCAAGUACCCACUUCAUUCCUACUUAACAUAUUAGCAAGGUCAUUUUCUGUUCCUACAAUAGAUCAAAAGACAUGGGUUUAUAUCAACAGCUGAAUCGGACUCUGAAGUACUCUAAAAUUUGCAGGUAGCAACAGUGAGCUGAAUAUCUACUUCAAACAUUUUGUGAUCAAUGUUUUAAGAACUAGACCAAUACAAGCACAUUUUUAAUAUAGAAACCAUUUUCUUCAUCAUUACUUAACCUGAAAUCUAGUCACUGCAAGGAGUUUGCUUCUGCAACACGUUUGCACACUUUGUACUCUUGGAACUGUAGAUGCUUGAUAAAGUCUUUGACUUUAUGAUCACAUGCCCCUUGCAUUUACUAUGAAUUUAUUACGACUAGAGGUAACCAUUACCAUGUCAGACUUAGGAAGCGUUCUGUAGGUAGCAAUUAUCCUUUAGAGAUCAAUUAUGAUCCCAGUUUAAGACUGCAAGUCAAUUCCUAGGCAAGACAGUGUACAAACAGGCAUGGCUAACAGGACCAGGAAAUAAAGGACUUAAGAAAAAAAAGGAAAAAAAAAAAAAAAAAAAAGCAGCAGUCAUUGUCCCCCCUCCACCCCAGGCAGUACCACAGCCCCUGGUACCACCAGCCACGGUGGGUUUAGUCCAGGGACUGGCACAGCUACUGUCAUGAAGCCAGAGCAGGGCCACCGGAGAACUGGCAUGAUCUCUACAAAGCUGCCUCUCCAACAGGCCUUUUGAAAGUAAUUCUGUAAGGCCACAUGAUUUUGAUUUAAAAUCUGUGCUUACCCGCAACGUUAAGAGUUACUGUGAGAACUGAACAGUGCAGGCCACUACGAUUCAGUGGCCCAGCCUGGGAAAGGGCACGGCCUCUUCAAGGUGAGCUUUAUUAAACAUUAAAACAGUGUUUCUCAACAAGCUGAACGAGAGUUAAGCUAAUCUGUAGACCAUGUAAAUUUCCACAGAAAGCGUGGAGUACAGCUUGCUAACAGUUUGCCUGCAGGACUUCUGGAGUCAGUUUUCUCUCUGCACUCAAGUUCUCCAAAUUCUGUUCCAUUUUGUUCCAUUGAUGGUACACAUUUCCUCUAGGAUUUAGGAAGGUUAUGAACACUGGCAGAGCCCUGAGAAUGAAUUAAGCAUUUUUAUUUAACCUGAGGCCUUUAAUCGCCAUUUUUAGUAUAACCUAUUAAGGCUUAGUUUAACUUUGUACUUCUAAACACUAAUACACUAACUCUCCUGCAUUUUUUUCAACAGCAAAACUCAUUUCAGCAUGACACAGUGCUAUCACUCUCAGUAAUGUCAAGUCCACAACCAAGCACACCCACCUCUUCUGAGCUGUUCACAGACGAUGCUCAUUACUGCAAAACUGCCAUGAAGUAGAAAUGUAUUCAGUUAUAAUAAGUGCAAGAAAGUGAGACACCAAAAUUCCAACAUCUGUAAUAAGGGGAGCUGGUUUGGGUUGUUUUGGGUUUGGUUUGUGUUUGGUUUUUGUCAAAAGAAGCAGGUACUAGCUUGUGCAAUAAUAAGGACAGGCAUUUGAUAUUGCUGUUUAUUUCUUUUUAAAAAUUAGACAAUUCUCAAUGUAUUAUUCCAGCAACAUGCUACUGCGCACUCUAUACAUUCCCUUCUUCAGAAUAAUUCUAACUAGAUCUUGGCAGGGAUAAACCAAGUAAGAAUUACUGACUUUAAUAGUACAAAUCAGAAUUAAACCAGCCGAGAACUCCUCCCCUGAAUCUGACACAAUAUUUGUGUGAAAUUGGACUACUCAUAUUUAACACUGUGUUGUCUCAAAUACCUCUUGAAAUAUGAAUAUUUUGUUUCUCUAUUAGAAACAACUGUGUGUAUAAAUUUUCAUCUUAUUCAGAAUAAUAAGAUCAAAAUUUCCAUGGGCAUUAAAGGGAAUUUCAACUAGGGUUUCAUAAGGCAGGCUUUAAAAUAGUGCCUGAACCAGUUCUUCCACAGAGUUCUUGAUUAAAAUUCUACAUAUUUUCAAUAACUAUUUUCAGCAGUGUAAAUUCUGUGUCCUCCAAAAAGUUUUAAUGAAAACCAUUUAAUUAAAGCUAGUUUGACAGCCUGAAUAUGCAAAGUCAAACUGCAGGAUACUAAAUAGGUUUUGAGAUUUGUCUGCCUAUCUACCAAAAAAAAACUUCCCUCAAACAUCCCAUGGAGCAGAAACAAUUGUGGUAACAAAAGAUUUUCAGUUGUCAGAUUCAAGGUCGCUAGUUAAAUUAUUCAGUCAUUUUUACUUCUAGCAAAAACAACCUCUUACAGGCAUGUAUGGGUUUGUAUGUUGUUUCCUAAAUGGUUUAGAAGCACACUCUUGUAUUCUCUAUUUUACAGCGUUGUGCUUUUUUAUUUAUUCAUCUGUACCAGUUUUUAGCUGAAAAUUAUUGUUCAAUUUUUACAAAUCACCCAUGAUUUAAACUGUAUAAUUACAUUUCAUGUAAUCUCACAAUUUCAUUGGGUAAUUAAAUGAUUCUCUACAGCUUUUUUAUCAAAAAAAAGCAAUAUACAAUUAAUGAAUCCUCAUAGGAUUUCUCCCCCCCCCCCGGCAUUGAUGUUACAUAUUUAAAUACACUAGACCAAAUCCUUGGGCACGUCUGACGAGUUGUGCAGCAACCGGACAUGCGCGCAAAAUGCUUCAAAGCUCACCCUUCACAAAGGGCUGGGUUCUAUUGCAGGGCUGUAUCCUCAUCACAGAGAGAGGGGCAAAAAAGUGGCAAUGUCUCAGUUACAUCAGCUGUACAGCUACAGCGGACCUUCCUGCAGAAGGAAAGCUCAGUAGUUUGCCCUCUUACUUCAAUUCUCCAGCAUUUACUGUGGUAUUUUAGGAGUGCAUAUGGAAGGGGUAUAUGGGACUCUAUAGCACCAGAGGAUUAUUAAAAUCCUCUCUGGGCAAAUUACACUGAAUUUAGGGCCAGUUUAGAGCUGGUAUUUUAAUCUUUAGUAGCUAUACUAUUCUAGAGGGUCUAGCCCAUAUCAUCAUAGUGCAAAUGCAGCCUCCUGUAUAGAUACCUUCUGGUAAUAAUAAAACAACAUAACCUUAACAAACAGAGGUACAGUUUGUUAAUGAGGCAUGGUACAUUUUACUCAGUUAUGCACCCAGGCACCUUCUUUCAUUGCUGAGCCAUCCACUUUUCAGAAAACAUUUAAAAAAUAACAU